AUUGAACGCUGGCGGCAUGCCUUACACAUGCAAGUCGAACGGCAGCACGGGGGCAACCCUGGUGGCGAGUGGCGAACGGGUGAGUAACGCAUCGGAAUGUACCCAGUAGUGGGGGAUAACUAGUCGAAAGAUUAGCUAAUACCGCAUACGCACUGAGGUGGAAAGCGGGGAUCGCAAGACCUCGCGCUAUUGGAGCAGCCGAUGUCCGAUUAGGUAGUUGGUGGGGUAAAGGCCUACCAAGCCUGCGAUCGGUAACUGGUCUGAGAGGACGACCAGUCACACUGGGACUGAGACACGGCCCAGACUCCUACGGGAGGCAGCAGUGGGGAAUUUUGGACAAUGGCGCAAGCCUGAUCCAGCAAUGCCGCGUGUGUGAAGAAGGCCUCGGUUGU
Molecule: ribosomal RNA, 392 nt
Filed under: uncultured bacterium
Lineage: Bacteria
Description: bacterial SSU rRNA
Rfam family: Bacterial small subunit ribosomal RNA
Source: RNAcentral